AUGACGGACAACCGCAGCGGCUCCGACUCCAAUGGCGACGAGGGUGACAUCGAUGUUGUCGCCUUCCGCAAUGCUUUGCGCCACUCCUGUCUAGAUCAGGCAGCAGCAGCGGAGGCAGCUCCCGUAGCGACGCGUCGUCCCCUUCGCCCGCCGCCACACUGUGGGCGACGUUGUCGGGCCGUCCCAUUCGCCGGUGGGAGCGCCAACCGUUCCACCCCACUCCAAGUAUGCCGCUCCGCCGCCAACCCGUCCAUUCUACCUCCGGAGAGCGUCCACGGGCACCGUUUGGUGCUUCUGCCCUCGCCAGCACCAGGCCGGUUGAGGACGCCCGAGGCGCGGCCCGCACGACGCGAGGGCAACGCGACGGAGAUGGAUGCGUUGCGGCUGCGGCGGAAGAACGCCAAAGCGCUCCGACUCGCUAUCGAGUCGUCGGCGAAGGAGAAGGCGAAGAGGCACGUCGAGGAGCAGGAACGCUUGCUCCAAAGGCUUGCCGGGGGUCACAUGGAGCUAUUGGGUGACUCCGACGACGGAUCAAGCUCUGACGAUAACGACGACGAUGACCCUCCGGCGGCCGACGCCCACACCGAAGGCCAAAGCAGCAUCGCCAACCGCAAGGGAAGGACCAACUCACUAAUGCCCCCAUCCCUCCUCCUCCCCAUCCAAUCCCCCGGACGAUCUGCCUCCCCUGUCGCCUACCCCGCUGCUGCGUCGACCCUAGCCGCGACGCCCGACUUUUCCACCGACGGUGAGGCCUUCCUCAAUCCCUCCAAGCUCUGUGUCCUCCGCAUUGUGCUGCCACACCCCCACUCUCGUCGCUUGCGGUCACCGGAGCCAUGUCGGGAGAGUUUACGGCAAUCCUUCCAAGCAUUAAUUAUUCCGAUGAUAGUAGGGGGCCUCCAUGCACAGUCUUUCUUCAUUGGUACAUCGGCGUUGUUUUCUUGUGGAUGUGCUGGAUCGCCAUUCCUCAAUGUGUACCUGGAUUCUCUUUGUGCACCUAAUUUUAGGCAGAUUAAGCAAUUCUCUACAUUCAAGGGUGCCGUUAAUUAUGAUGCUGGCGCCAGCGUCCUUGAGGAGGGAAAGAGGGGCGCUGGUGGCAGAGGCCAUGCACAAGUACGCGACACCCUGCUCGUCGUGAUAGUUCUGGUUUUCCUUGCCGCUCCCAAAUGCUCAAGUGGAACGGCAAGUAGGAAGCGCACCUCUGGGACAACACAAAGCCAGGUUGAGAGGCCCAAGCACAAUGGCAAACAAGCAUCUCUACUUCUAAUGGAGCAGUUGGUAGUCUCCGCCGGUCAAUUUUCGUCCCAUCAAAGACGGUUAAUUUUCGUCCUCCAUCCCACCUCCCGCUACCCAGCGAUCCCCCCUUCCUUCCUCGAGACCGACCAAAAAAAAAGGCAGGCUACCACGAGGCCCGUUGCCCUCGUGCCUCGCAUCCCCUCGCACACACGAAAAAAAACAGCGAAAAUAAUCCCCGAGAGAAAGUCCAAUCGCGUCCCGCAAACCCUAGCCGCCGCCGGCCUCCCCUACCCGUGCCGCAGACGCACACCAUCCUCUUCUCCUCCCUCCCGUCAGCGACCUGCCUCCACUCCGCGAGGCAGAUCGAUCGAGACCCAUGGCCGGGGUCGCCACCGUGCCUCGCCGCGCAGCGCAUCGGUCGGAGCAGAGAGUCGGGGCGUAGGAGAUGAGGAGAACGGCGUAGGCUUCAUGAUGGAAGGAGAUACGGCGGCGGACAAGGAGGAGGUCGGGGGUUACACAGAGGUACAGGUGGAUGUCAGCAACCUGCCCCCUACGACGUCGAUGGUGAGCACCCAAUAUGUUGUAAUCUAUCUAUUUGAUCUAUUUAGUGAUAUUUCACAUCGACUGAUUGUAGCAUGCCUACACCGAUGGGCAUUUGGAGGAGCCGGCAACGGUGGCAGUGCUUCAUUUUCCUGCCGACAAUGGAAGUAUGGACCAGCAAGAAAUAUCGAGUUGAUUGGCAUACUUGCUGAGAAGGUUACAACUGUAGGUAAGGCAUCAAACUAUAUGUCUCAAAUUAAGGUAAAUGCUUCUUCGUGUACCAUAUAUGGCAGUUUGGUGAUCAACCUUCGAUCAGUUAGGCCACUGGAUAGAGCUGCGAUAAAAGCAUAUGUUACGAAAAUAAAUAGGUUGGUGAUUCUUGAAGAAGGCUCCCCCCAACAUCGUGUUGGUGCUGAGAUAUGGUUUUCUCUCUCUCUCUCUCUCCACACACAUCAUGUCAGUACUUUUUAUUUUCUUGCUCGAGCCACAGAUUCUACUUCUGCAUAUUGUUUACUUUAUCCUCGCUGCAUCGGCCUUGCAUAUGGCCAUUGGGUACUGAUCGCCUCCAUGUCUUUGGUGAGCCCCCAUAGCUCUAGGUACAUUCUGAAGGAGAAGAUUGCUGGUCGAGAAGGCCAUUUAUCUGAUAUUAGUUUAUUGGAGAAAUUGCCCAUGAUGUAUUUUCAGUACAUUAGGAUUUUUUGUAGUCGCAUGGUUCUGAUAGGAAGAUACCGUUGCUACCAGUAA
This 2517-nucleotide ribosomal RNA is filed under the name Triticum aestivum (bread wheat). Its description in RNAcentral is "partial small subunit ribosomal RNA". The record is from RNAcentral. Lineage: Eukaryota; Viridiplantae; Streptophyta; Magnoliopsida; Poales; Poaceae.